UACAUAUGAUGUAUUCUUAUAUUUGCUACUUCGGAGAAGGUUUACCUUCAAUGAGACAUACUUAUAAUCACCAAGAUCUCUGAUGUA
RNAcentral lists this small nucleolar RNA (87 nucleotides) under Tetrapisispora phaffii CBS 4417. Its description in RNAcentral is "Small nucleolar RNA SNORD24". It matches the Rfam family "Small nucleolar RNA SNORD24". From Rfam's summary of the family: U24 is a member of the C/D class of snoRNA which contain the C (UGAUGA) and D (CUGA) box motifs. C/D box snoRNAs have been shown to act as methylation guides for a number of RNA targets. U24 is encoded within an intron of the gene for ribosomal protein L7a in mammals, chicken and Fugu. The record is from Rfam by way of RNAcentral. Lineage: Eukaryota; Fungi; Ascomycota; Saccharomycetes; Saccharomycetales; Saccharomycetaceae.